GUUCCGGUCGGCCCGGCUGCGGGGGGGGGAAGGUUUUGGGAGACGGACCCGGGAGUCCCGGCCUCGUCUCCUGGCUUCCGGCUCGGGGCAGGUAUAUAACAGAGGUGGAAUUAUCUUGUCCUCACUGAGCAAGCAGCACUGUUCUCACAGGUACCUUUGCUGUGUCCUUGGACCCAAACCUCUAUAAGCUGGGAUCUGUGAGCAGAAUUGAGAGCUCUGGCUACAGAUCUUUAGCUCAACUUAAUACUGUGUCUGUCUAGAAAACAUGAAUCAGGAGAGCAACCCGAGCGAACUACCUGGUGGCCAGGACCCACUCCUAUUGCUGAAAACCCUUCAGUCUCUCUGGACAAAGAAAGAGAUGAAGAAGCAGCUCAAGGAAGAAACCAGGCGGGGCUUUGCAGGUCUGGAAGACCCAUUGGCAGGGCUCUUGGACAUGCUGGAGAACAGCAGCGAUUGGAAGGGGAAAGGGCACUCCCUUGGGUAUUACAUCACCAAUGAGUUGCAGCUUUGGAUAAAGGAGCAUCCCGCUGUUCAGCAGACUGGUUUGAAGUUGAAGAAGCUCCAGGCCCGAGUGUUCAGAAUACUAGUCCAGUGCCAACCUAAUCUCAUUGAUCCACUUGUCAACAUUUAUCAGCUCCUUACAGCAGACCGGAGCUAUCUGCUUGGACACGUCAGUCACCUUUACUACAAUGGCAAGUACAAAGAGGCAGUCAUUCUGAGCAUAAAGCUAAGAUUGCAGCAGGAUCAAGACUUGGAGAAGAUGUGCACUCCACUGCUGCUUCAAGAUAAAACUAACUUAGUGGAGGCUUAUGUAGCAGAAGAUCCCAAUCUUCAGUGCAAACUUUUACAGAUCCUGGAUGCAUGGCGUGAACCCAGUUUUAAUAUUAAAGACAUUGCAAGGCAGUAUCAAGGUUUGCUCAACUACAGACCGGAUAAAUUUAACCACAAAAUGUUGAGCAAGCUGGUCUUCAGGCUCCUUAAACAAUAUAACUUAGAUCCAGCUCUUUGUCCUAAUGUCAUCAAUCAGCAACACCUAGGAUCCCUGAAAUAUCUCUUCUACAAGAGGUUUGUUGAGAAAAGCAUGACUCAGGAGAACUGGACAGAUCAUGUUCAGAGCACCGUGGGGGACAAUCGGUGGCUACAAGAGCAGCUGAUCCGGCUCCUGGUCAGUUAUUGUGAUUUGAACACUGCAGCCAGGUGGGCUUUUCACUACAACUUCCCUAAGGAGAACCUGCCUUAUGGAGUGGCUGAUGAGCUUCAGAGACUCAAGAUCCAGGAGAGGGUAGAAGAUGCUGAGAGAACUGAUGAUUAUGAAGAGGACAGGAAGAAGAAUUAUUACCAGCUGCCCAUUCCCAGGGAGAACAUUCACUUCCUGCAGACAUGGGAAGAGAUGCAGCAGUGCAGGGAACAGGUGCUGCAGGCUGGCCAAGUGAUUGGCAUUGACAUGGAGUGGAGACCUUCGUUUGGCAGUGUGGGGAGGUCGCGUGUCUCCUUGCUUCAGCUCGCUGUCAAGGACCAGGUGUUUCUCUUGGAUCUGCUGCAGUUCCAGGAGGAGGCUGAGCAGGAGAAGCUUUCUCACUUUAUCCAGACACUCUUUUCAGACCCGGCCAUCACUAAGCUAGGUUAUGGGAUGUCUGGAGAUCUCACCAGCCUUGCUGCAACGUGCUCUACUUUUAAAAACCUGAACAGGGAGGUGCAAGGCACAGUGGACCUGUUCACAGUAGAUAAACAAUUACAGAAAUGCUUCAGAGACUGGAGGAAGGAUGUCCGGAAGGUCGACGUACUGUCACAGGAGCAGAGCUGUGAGGAAAGAGGGUUCAGGCAGGCAGAAAAAGGACUCAGCCUGCUGGUGCAGCAUGUCCUGGGAAAGCCUCUGGAUAAAACAGAGCAGCUGUCCAACUGGGAGAAACGGCCCCUUCGUGAGGAGCAGAUCCUCUAUGCAGCUUGUGAUGCAUAUUGCUUGUUGGAAGUGUAUGGGAAGCUGUCUGAGGAUCCAGCAGCCUUUGGUCUGAGUUCAGACCUUGCUGAGUGCCUGGUGGAGAAACAAGCCACAAAAUCAAGGGCAAAGAGGCCGCUAAAUAAACAAAAAAUGCCAUCGACUUCCAAACAGCAGUCCAAAGGGGUUGUCAAGGAGGCCUCAAACCCCUCUCCCGUCAUCUCUCCCAAAGAGUUUAGUGUGGUCUGCGACAAUAUGCUGCAGGGACUUGGGCGCUACCUUCGCUGUCUUGGGGUGGAUGUCCGGAUGCUAGAGAAUGAUGAUGACCAUAGAAAAGCCGCUGAGAUUGCCCGGCAGGAAGGAAGGGUCAUUUUAACCUCUGGACUCCCAUAUCAGACGCUGCAGUCCCAGGUAGGAGAAGGGAGAUGUUUCUCUGUGAACUGUUCAGAAAAAGCAAGGGAGCAGGCCCUACAAGUUCUGAAACACUUCAAUGUUCAAGUGGCUCUGGCAGAUAUCUUCAGUCGCUGUCAGGAACACCUUUUUAUAGGGACAUUAAGUACAGGAAAGUGGGAGGCAAGGUUGAGCAUUGUGACCGUCCAUGGGAAGAGAGAAGAGACAUCACAAAGAAAGGAAGGCAUUGUUCCUGUUUGUGGUUCUUCAGUAUGACUCUGUUGUUCCUACUUGUUGGAUUUAACUGAACAAGAUUUGUCCAACUACAUCCCAGCAUCCCUCCCUGAAGACAGGGAAUAAAGAGCAGAGCAUCUUACAGGUGCGUUGAAUUCUAACAGGAGGAGGACAAACUCGGCGUGGGGCCCUGUGUGCAGUGCCCAGAAUCUGUAGGCAAGUGCUAGAGUUCCUCUUCCAAGUCACAUAGCCAUGCAGACCCACCACGUGGAGAGGCUUCCACACUCAUGGACUUUACCUCAGCUUCUCUUCUUUGAACGGCUCUCUACAGGCUCAGAACCUCCUUUAAUGCAAAUAGGAUGGAGGACACUAUAGCCCCUAUUGCUGAAAUGUGGCUUCUCUAGAAAUGCUGUGGGAGCAGUUUGUCCUUCUCCUGCACGUGAAUCUGAACAGCUCUGUGCUGUGACAAUUGGAUGGACUGGCUCACAAAUGCAUUUGAAAGUGCUUUUUUUCCCAGGAGGAUUACACAGCCUUUUUAGCUUUGAUUCCCCCCCACCCCCCUCUCCCCCCUUCCCUCUGUUAUUUUGGUGCCAUUCCCUAGGGGAAACCUACUUAGCUUGGACAGUGUUCCCACCAGAAAGUCAAAAACCUCUCCCCAUAAUUUUUCUCUCCUUUUUUGGGUUAAUAGCAAUAGGUCCCAUGACAAAACAAACAUAAAUCUGUGUGCUAGGAGCAUUGCUUUUCUCCUUAAAGAGAGAGUUGUCCCCUAGGGCUGGCACAAACCUUCAGCCUCUGCUUGAACUUUGCAGUUCAGUGAUGACUCGCACUGUUCGAGUUGAAGGUAGAAUGUGGACCUUUUCACAUAACAGCCUAUGAGAAUCAUCUUUAUCAUGGUAACAGGCUGGUUUAGCAGCCCCUAUUUUGUAUGUGGGUGGCUUAGAAGAGAAGUGGAAUAGGUGACUUAUGUUCUACAGAAGAUGAACUUAUAUGUGCAUCUUGUGUAUGAUAGAGGUGCUACUCAAUGAGCUGCCCUCAGCCAGGGGGUCCGCUGUACCAGUUUUUGUAGCCAUUAGCAAGCAAAGGAGUGAUUGGGCUAGCAUCACAUUGCUAGCUACCUUUGAUUCUCAUAGACCAAAAGACCAAGUGCCUCUUGCAGCUGGGUUGACUGGGAGAAGGGGCAGCCUCCAGCAUGAGUCUGAGUCAAAACUUGAACAAACAGCUCUGGAUACUAUUGUGAGAUAUUUUAACCACCAUGCUCACAUGAGUGCUAAUUGUGGCUCCCAAUGUAUGGCUGUGCUCUGAAAUGCUUUUUAAUGGGAUACAGAUGCCUGUUUUCCACUAUACCUAAAAUAAACUUUCAAACAAUUUUAA
Alligator mississippiensis (American alligator) is the source of this 3931-nucleotide RNA transcript. It is a transcript of the gene named exonuclease 3'-5' domain containing 3, with no coding region annotated. The transcript is spliced from 22 exons. The record is from RefSeq and is a predicted model, not a curated record. NCBI's taxonomy places the organism in Eukaryota, Metazoa, Chordata, Crocodylia, Alligatoridae.